GUUGCAGCCCAAGAUUCCAAGAAAACAAAGACACCUGCAGAAGAACAACCCAAAGGAAAAAAACAGGAAAAGAAAGAAAAACACUUGGAACCAGCAAAGUCACCAAAGAAGGAACAUUCAGAAACUGAGCGAACUAAAGAAGAGAUUGGU
Long non-coding RNA from Loxodonta africana (African savanna elephant), 150 nucleotides. RefSeq lists it as uncharacterized. The transcript is spliced from 6 exons. Lineage: Eukaryota; Metazoa; Chordata; Mammalia; Proboscidea; Elephantidae. The record is from RefSeq and is a predicted model, not a curated record.